This 231-nucleotide ribosomal RNA is filed under the name Triticum aestivum (bread wheat). RNAcentral's name for it is "partial small subunit ribosomal RNA". The record is from RNAcentral. Lineage: Eukaryota; Viridiplantae; Streptophyta; Magnoliopsida; Poales; Poaceae.
AUGGGCAACAAAGCAGCCAUAAUGCAAAUUGCAAUGGCCAGCCUAUGGAUGCAGGACCAGGGAGCAGUGCAAGUAGCUUCGGCAAGGGAGUGUAAGCCACCGAUCCACCAGUUUGGCGGGUUGUGCACGAAUGACAACAAUUGUUUACGUAAUUGCCUGGCCGAUGGUUUUACCAAAGGAGUGUGCCAGGGUUUUAACGGAGGCAUAUGUUUGUGCACCAGGGACUGCUAG